Rhabditophanes sp. KR3021 is the source of this 3424-nucleotide non-coding RNA. The record is from Rfam. NCBI's taxonomy places the organism in Eukaryota, Metazoa, Nematoda, Chromadorea, Rhabditida, Alloionematidae.
CCACCUCAGCUACGCAUGAAUACCCGCUGAACUUAAGCAUAUCGCUAAGCGGAGGAAAAGAAACUAAAUAGGAUUUCCGUAGUAACUGCGAGUGAACUGGAAUUAGCCCAUCACGAAAUCUGUCGAGGCAACUCUUCCGAAAUGUCGUGUAUAGAUGUUACUUAAAAUAAUAAAAUACAAAUUAAUUACGUUUAAACCCGUAGCCACAGAAGGUGCCAGCCCUGUCGAUUUGUGUAUUGUUAUUUUUGGUAGCUUCUCAGAGUCGUGUUGCUUGAAAGUGCAGCGCAAAGUUGGUGAUAAACAUCAUCUAAGGCUAAAUAUCCCCAUGAAUCCGAUAGCGAACAAGUACUGUGAAGGAAAGUUGCAAAGCACUCCGAAGAGAGAGUUAAAGAGGACGUGAAACCGAUACGAUGGAAGCGCACAGAGCCAGUCGCAUUGACAUUAAUUUAUUGGUGUUUCUAAGUGUGAAACAUUUGAUUGCUUUUGUUGCCCGCACUCUAGGUCGCGAAAUUUAUUUUUUGUAGUUGGAGGGCACGAAGACAUAAGUAGUUAAAUUGUAGAUUGGGGAAGGUUAGUUGAUGUAUUGUGGUUUUUUGAUGAUUCACUUGUGUUUGACUCUUAAAAUUAUUUUACUGAUAUUAGUCCAACUAGUCGUUUUUACAUAGCCCUGGUAUGCUGUACGUCCCGUCUUGAAACACGGACCAAGGAGUGUAUUGCUAUGGCGAGUCAUUAAUAUUGUUAAUAUUAAAGGCGUAUUGAAAAAGAUUCUACUUGUGAUGUAGUAAUACAGCAACAAGGACGUGGGCAUGAUAUUUAUAUCCGUCCGCAGUUAGAGCCAUAGUAGUGCGACCCGAAAGAUGGUGAACUAUGCUAGCGCAGGGUGAAGUCAGAGGAAACUCUGAUGGAAGCUCGAAGCGGUCCUGACGUGCAAAUCGGUCGUAUGACGUUAGUAUAGGGGCGAAAGACUAAUCGAACCAUCUAGUAGCUGGUUCCUCCCGAAGUUUCCCCCAGGAUAGCUGGAAUCGCAUGUAGAUACAUCCGGUAAAGCCAAUGUUUAGAGGAAUAGGGGACAACAUGUUCUUUAUCUAUUUACAAACUCUAAAUGGGUGUGAUAUCGCGAUUACUUAAUUGAAUCGUGGUCUCGAUUACAUGGUUCCAAGUGGGCCAUUUUUGGUAAGCAGAACUGGCGACGUGGGAUGAACCAAAAGCAUCGUUAAAGUGCCUAAGGUUUGCUCAUCAGACCCCAUAAAGGGUGUUGUUUGAUCUAGACAGCAGGUCGGUGGCCAUGGAAGUCGGAACCCGCUAAGGAUCGUGUAACAACUCACCUGCCGAAUCAAGCAGCCCCGAAAAUGGAUGGCGCUUGAGCAAACCACUUAGACGGUGCCGUUAAACUAAUUUAAUUUAGAGUUUAACGUGUAGGGGGGCGUAGUGAUUGCGUCGAAGGUUAUGAGCGUAAGCUCGACUGGAGCAUUCAUUAGUGCAGAUCUUGGUGAUAGUAGCAAAUACACAAGUGAGACUCUUGUGGGCCGAAGUGGGAAAGGGUUUCAUGUCAACAUCAUUUGGCUAUGAGUUAGUCGGUCCUAAGCGUACCCUGAAAAGGCAUAUAUAACGCGAAAGGGAAGUAGAUUAAUAUUUCUACACCGUUUAUGGAGAAAAUGAGAUGCAAGUCUUAUUUUGCGUGGUAACACAAAUGAAAUUGGUUACAUCUUAUUAAGCCCCGGCUAGAGAUCUCUUCUCUAGUUAAGUGUUACCGUCCACGGAAUUUGCUCAGCAAGAGAUGUGGACUAAGACACGCAGAGUAGUGCUAUUUUGGCGCUAUCCGGUAUGCUUAGUAGGAUCCUUAAAACACCAAUGGAAGCAUAAUAAAUUUCAUAAACGGCCGUACCCAUAUCCGCAGCAGGUUUCCAAGAUGUCUAGUCUCUGGUCGAUGAAAUAAUGUAGGUAAGGGAAGUCGGCAAAAUAGAUUCGUAACUUUGGGAAAAGAAUUGGCUCUUGGGAUGUGGAAUGAUGGGAAUUUUAUUGAAGUGAAAAAAAUAAUAGAUGGCUGGAAAUAGCAAUAUUUUUGGAACUUUAUUAUAAUUUUCAUGGAUAAAUUAUUCUUUAACGUUAUUCAAUUAUAAACAUCAACCAAGAACUGGCACGGACUCGAGGAAUCCGACUGUCUAAUUAAAACAGAGGAGACAGAUGAUGCGAGAGCAUGUAGACUGUGUCUGAUUUCUGCCCAGUGCAAUGAAUGUUAUAAUGGUGAAAGCCAUUGAAGCUCUUGUAAACGGCGGGAGUAACUAUGACUCUCUUAAGGUAGCCAAAUGCCUCGUCGGGUAACUUCCGACGCGCACGAAUGGAUUAACGAGAUUCCUACUGUCCCUAUCUACCAUUCAGCGAAAUCACAGCCAAGGGAACGGGCUUGGCAGAAACAGCGGGGAAAGAAGACCCUGUUGAGCUUGACUCUAGCUAGGCAUUGUGAAGUGUCAUGUGAGGUGUAGUAUAGGUGGGAGUAGCUUGCUACGUACUUGAAAUACCACUACUUACAUCGAUGCUUUACUUAGUCGAUUAAAUGGAGACGUAAUUUAUUACUUUUCUUGUAUUAAAUAAAUUGUUUUGAACAAUUUAUGAUCCACGUCGACGAUCGUGUCUGGCGGGGAGUUUGACUGGGGCGGUACAUCUAUCAAACCGUAACGUAGGUGUCCUAAGGCAGGCUCAGAGAGGACAGAAACCUCUCGUAGAGCAAACAGGCAAAAGCUUGCUUGAUCAUGAUUUUCAGUACGAAUACAGACCCUGAAAGGGUGGCCUAUCGAUCCUUUUGUGUUAGUAUGUUUCUAAAAAGAGGUGCCAGAAAAGUUACCACAGGGAUAACUGGCUUGUGGCAGCCAAGAGUCCAUAUCGACGUUGCUUUUUGAUCCUUCGAUGUCGGCUCUUCCUAUCAUUGCGAAGCAGAUUUCGCCAAGCGUUGGAUUGUUCACCCACUAAUAGGGAACGUGAGCUGGGUUUAGACCGUCGCGAGACAGGUUAGUUUUAUCCUACUGUUGACUUGUUAAUGUGAUAGUAGUCCUGCUCAGUACGAGAGGAACCGCAGGUCCGGCUAAUUGGUACAUGACGUUGUUGGAAACAACAAUGCGUCGAAGCUACCAGCCGCGGAAUUAUGACUGAACGCAUCUAAGUCAGUAUUCCGUCUAGUCAUGACAUUAAUGUUUGUAUCUCUGUGCUUGUAUUGGCCAGUUUAAAAGAAUUUAUUCUUUGUUUAAGCCUCGCGUUUUGUACGUAAAUUAGAUUAAUAUGUCUAAUUUACUCCAAAUCGAAUCAUCGAUGUCAGGUCGAGGUGAAAGUGAGCUUGCAUACGACUAGCUAGCUGGACCAAGGAGUGUAAGCUGCAGAGCAGGUCUUUCCUGCGAUCAGCUGAGCUUUAUCUUGCGUCUGGUGCCACUGU